Alosa alosa (allis shad) is the source of this 642-nucleotide long non-coding RNA. RefSeq lists it as uncharacterized. Lineage: Eukaryota; Metazoa; Chordata; Actinopteri; Clupeiformes; Clupeidae. The transcript has 4 exons. The record is from RefSeq and is a predicted model, not a curated record.
GUAUAUAAAUACUGUUACACCGAUGCAGGAAGAUCACUCUCCCUUUUGCCACCUCUCCUGAGCGAGCAUCCUCCCAUCAGCAGCGAGAGAGACAGCACAGCACAGCACCUCACAGCUUGCACCAGACAGAAUGAUGACUCGCAUCGCACUUCUCUUUCUUGCUGCAUGCCUGUACUGGAGCUGCACCACAGGCUCAGCAAUAGCCUUAGAUUGCUGCCUGUCCAUCACGGAUAAGCCCCUUCCUCGCGCAUAUGCACACUCAUACAAACUGACCGAUGCUGGAUGCAGCCUCAAGGCCACCGUGUUCACCACCAAGAGAGGAAAGCAUGUGUGUGCCCCUCCUCCAGAGAAGAGUGAAUGGGUGAGGAUUCUCAUCUAAUCUGAAUAAGAGAGGUGCCCAGUGAGUGCAUCAGGGGAGGAGAGGGAGAGAAAAGGGGUGAGCGAGGCCCAGUAGAACCUUGAUGAUGACGACAGUUCACUCGGCUGUCAAGGAAUGCUCUGCACGAUGGAACCUUGUGAGAGUCGAAAGCUGUGUGAAGCCAGUGCAGUUUUAUUUGUUACUUGGUGCUUUAAAAUGUUCUCAAAUGUUCUUUUAUUUUCAUUAUGUAUACUUUAAUUUGUAAUUUUCUGGUCUCAUGUCAA